This 291-nucleotide long non-coding RNA is filed under the name Gossypium barbadense (sea-island cotton). RNAcentral's name for it is "long non-coding RNA (GBAR_LNC007153)". The record is from RNAcentral. Lineage: Eukaryota; Viridiplantae; Streptophyta; Magnoliopsida; Malvales; Malvaceae.
UUGGCCAAGAAAGUUUAAGGGUACAACUAUACCUUGUUAAAUGUACAAAGAUCAUAGUGGUAUGUAUGGAUGUUAGAGGGUGACCAAAGGCUUAGAAAAUAACCCUAAAGAGGUCCACAUGGGUAGACACACAGGCAUGUGUCUAGGCCGUGUGUGACACACGGUCAGCCCUCAUGUGCGUGUUUCUUGGCCAUGUGUCCCCUGCACCUAGAAUUAUAGGUCAGUUUGCAUUAUAGUAAACACACGAACAGAGACAUGGCCGUGUGUCUCAACCUUAUAGAGGACAUGGCC